Molecule: ribosomal RNA, 119 nt
Filed under: Danio rerio (zebrafish)
Lineage: Eukaryota; Metazoa; Chordata; Actinopteri; Cypriniformes; Danionidae
Source: RNAcentral
UGCCACAGCAAUAUUACUCUGCAGCCCAAGACCGGUUACUCACUGAUGAUAAGCAGAGCUGAGCCUGGUCAAUACCUGAAUGGGAGACCACAUGAUAAAAACCAGGUUAAUUUUGGAAG